UUCCGCCCUCCCGCCUCCUCUCCCGCCGCCCCCUCCGCCGUGCGCGCGCCAGUUCGAAGAUUGGCCAACACAAUUCAUUUUAUCAGUCCUGCCUAUGCUUGAUGUCAACUGCAAGAGAUGUUGUUUAGUGUUGAGGAGGCUGGUUAGCUUUGGAUCAUAAAUUCUCACCAGAAACAACACAGUUAUGGACCGUGCAGACACCUCAGGGUUUGUCAGUGGUGGUUGCUUUGGUACUACGCUCCUGCUGAUUUUCUUCCAUUUUGUCUAUUCGACCAUCAGUGUCUGAAAGAUUAUCCAGCCCCUGUUUCUUCAGCUCCCCAGUAAUCCUGAUAUUAUUUGCUCUGGCCCAGCUGUCAUAGUGUUAAGCUGUGAUGGAUAACAGCUUUGUGGAUACCACAAACCAACCUCUGAUGAAUGACCCCUUUGUCUUAAUGGCACAAUCAGCUCCAAGCUACGCCCUGAACAACCUGACCAAAAGCGCAGUUCGCAUGGAUUGCGUCGGCUCAGCAAUGGCUAAUUGUGGCCAUGGUGAUGAAAGUACACAAAGCAUGAAUAACAUCACAACGAGAGAUGAUGGUUGCAAGCUUGUUCUAGGGUUGGGUCCAACACCUGAUUUUUACUCGACACAUUAUCAGCCCACUGGUGUAUAUAAGUCAAAAGAAUCUCAGACUUUGUCUGGCCAGAGUUUCUCUUUCACUGACCCAGGGGUGCUGAGGCUUGGCCUGCAGACAGAUGGUGCAGAAACAAUUCAGCCUCUGCAAACACCAAAUGAAACAGUUCAUUCUUUUGCUGUUGUUGACGAGGCUUCAACAUCUGCUGCUGUAAGGAGCAUGGGUGGCUACAUGCCAUCGCUACUCUUUGCUCCCCGCUCCAGUUCUUCUGCUGCCAAUGAGACACAAUUACAAAGCAGAGAUUCACUAAACUCCACACACUACAACAGCAAUAAUACUCAGCAUAUUCAACAUCUUCAGCUCAGCCCUGAACCUUCUGCUACGACAGAGACUUCGUUUGGUGUGAGCUCUGAUGUGGUCACUGGAGCAACCACAUCAGAACAACGGAGUCAUCCCCGUCAUCCUAAGAAGUGCAGGUUCAAGGGGUGCUCCAAAGGUGGCAGAGGCUCAUCAGGGCUGUGUAUUGCUCAUGGAGGCGGGCAAAGAUGCCAUAAGCCUGGGUGCCAUAAAGGAGCUGAGAGCAGCACUGCGUAUUGCAAGGCCCAUGGCGGAGGACGGCGGUGUGAGGAGCUUGGUUGCACCAAGAGUGCCGAGGGAAAGACAGAUUAUUGUAUUGCUCAUGGUGGAGGCCGCCGUUGUGAAUAUCCUGAUUGUCCUAAAGCUGCACGAGGUAAGUCUGGACGGUGCAUAAAGCAUGGUGGUGGGAAGAGGUGUGCAAAGGAAGGUUGCAUUCGGAGUGCUGAGGGGAAGGCUGGACUCUGCAUUUCUCAUGGUGGUGGACGCCGGUGCCAGUAUCCGGACUGUGCCAAGGGGGCUCAGGGCAGUACAUUAUACUGCAAAGCGCAUGGUGGCGGCAAGAGGUGCGUCUUCGAUGGGUGCAGCAGAGGUGCAGAGGGGAGCACACCUCUGUGCAAAGCUCAUGGUGGUGGGAAGAGAUGCAUGUUCGAAGGAGGUGGUGUCUGCCCAAAGAGUGUACAUGGGGGGACUGAAUUCUGUGUGGCACAUGGAGGUGGGAAGCGCUGUGCAGCGCCUGGCUGCACCAAGAGUGCCCGCGGCCGCACUGACUGUUGUGUGAAGCACGGUGGUGGUAAGCGUUGCAGGAUUGACAAUUGUGGCAAGAGUGCUCAAGGUAGUACAGACUUCUGCAAAGCCCAUGGUGGAGGCAAACGUUGCACAUGGGGAUCCGGUUGUGAGAAGUUCGCCCGUGGCAAGAGUGGCCUGUGUGCCGCACAUGGAACCUUGGUGGCCAGGCAGCAAGAACAUGGAAUGGUGAAGAGUGGAGGGAGCAUGAUCGGACCAGGCCUCUUCAGUGGCAUUGUGGCAUCAUCAACCACCGCUGCAAGUAGCAUGACAAAUGAGCACUCUUCAUCAGGCAUCAGCACAGCAUCAGAUAGUGACGGCACAGUGAGGAGCCAAGCGAUGAUACCUCCGCAGCUGCUUGUGCCUCGCUCCAUGAUGCCCUCGUCAUCGUCGGAGCCUACUGUGCAUGGGGGCAGAGAAGCAGGCUGUCCUGUUCCUGAGGGAAGGGUGCACGGUGGCGGCCUACUGUCACUCCUCGGUGGCAGCUUCAGGAACGCCAAUAUAGAUAAGCUCUGAAGUGUUUUCUCCGCCUGCAAAUUAUGUCAGUUUGGUUGUACAUAAAAGGCACCGUGUUGCCUAUUGAAUUUUAUGCUUCCUCUCUUUGCUUGAUAAACAUUUCAUGGAUGUUUAGUCAGUCCAUUGUACAUGUUGUCCGGCAAUUCUUCUGAUCUGCAUUCAACAUGCCGGUCCAGUCAGUCGUAGUUACUGCCAAUAAGCCGUGUGUAUUUGAUAUAUUGUUUCUUAUUUGCUUGUGGAUUAUUACUCCUAAGAAAUUCGGUGCGCCGCAGCUAGGCAGGGUUUUGUAAAAUUGAAUUUUGGCUUAGAAUGUCUGAUUAUUAUUUUUUUGAAAUCUUGGGACGUCCAGGUACUAGUCCUUUGCAGUUCUGUAACGAUGAAAUGUUAUCUCGC
RNAcentral lists this ribosomal RNA (2660 nucleotides) under Triticum aestivum (bread wheat). Its description in RNAcentral is "partial small subunit ribosomal RNA". Lineage: Eukaryota; Viridiplantae; Streptophyta; Magnoliopsida; Poales; Poaceae. The record is from RNAcentral.